GACAUGAAAUGAAAAUAAAUCAAAUUUAAGAAAUUGACUUUUGUCAAGCUUAUCUUUCCCAAAAAAGUUUUGCAGACCACCUCCAUUUGUUUAAAAGACCCUCUUUUCUUUAGCAAAUUCAUCCUCCAUUCAAACAAACAUUAACGAACGGAUCAUAAUCAGAAACGUUCUACUCUUCGUCAUUCAAGUCCGGCAAACCUUUUCACCGGAAAUACUUGUAACUGGGAUGAUGAUUUCGCCGGAGAAGCACGUCGCCGGAAUGGGAGUUGCAGUCGAGAUGUAUAGAAACAGAAGUAGCACCCACACCGGGCCGACCUCUCCCACUGGAUCUCCGGGCGAACCGCCGGUCACCGGCCAGACCGCCGGUCUGAUGCAUGAACGGUCUGAACAAGUGAACCGGCCCGGCGAACCUUCCGACUCCCGGCCCGACCGGUCCGGCCGGUCCGGUCCGGGUCUGAAAACGUUGGUCCACAUACACAUCAGUUUACUUCCGUGGGUAAUCCUGUCUUUCCACCAUCACCAAUCUCACAACCUUCACCAUCGCUACGUUCGCCAAUCCCACAACCUUAUCCAUCAGCCAAACAGAAUAACAUGCCAAGAAGUGCGAAAAUCAUAACUAUUACCCUAGUUAUAAUAAUCUCUUCAUUUUGUAUGAUUAUGAUGUUUAGAAUGAAGAAAAGGCGAAUGACACCUCUUGCAACCCUUCAAAGUAAACCAACUAUGGAUAUCAGCACACUGGAAUCUUUUCAGUAUGACUUCAGUAUUGUGAAGGCAGCAACAAAUGAUUUUUCUGAAGAAAAUAAGCUCGGAUGGGGUGAGUUUGGAGCAGUUUACAAGGUGCUUUUUAUGCCGUUUCCACCAUAUGUCCAAGCCGUUUGACUGUACUUGUUCCAAUAAAGUUACUGUUCCCCGUCAGACGACAUUCAAGCCGGGUCAACAAGAACGAGCAGCCGUGUUCCAUACAUGUGACAAACACCAAAACACUUUCAAACUUUUUCUCACUUUGGAGCAAUUAACUUGAAGACCCAACGUUGAAGAUCCGAAAGAUCGUUGACCCGUCUGGGACCACUAAUCACACUUCUGCGACAUUAUUUGUGGGCCCCCCACUAUGGAUGCUUUUGGAAACUUCAACCAACACGUGAACAUGCCAAAUGAUUUCGGGAACAUGCCAAACGACCAAGAGAUGGAAGAAGCUUCCAUGGACCCCCCUUCAUACCCGCAAUCAACCAUUGAAGUAAGAGAAAAGUGGUGUAUUUUACAAUCUUUGCGUGACGUGAUGACUCCGCCGAUCGAAACAACGAUUAGGCAAACGUGUUUCGGACCAUAUUUAGACAAUAGAUGCACCAUAUGUGAUAGCCUUCUUUUAAUAGGCGUUGCACAACUACAAAUAUCGACUCCUUUUCCCCAUCUUGGUAUUUCGUAUAGAUUACGAGGGGGCCUAUUUACAUUCAUCCCUAAACAAUUUUGUUUAAUAACGGGGCUACGUUUUGGGCACACUUCUUGGUCACCUAUAGAGCACCCGAACUUAUUUAAGAACAUAUUUUUUCGACCUGGAUCAACUGUUAGUUUUGGAAAAAUAAUGUCUUUAUUCGAGAACGUUGGGCAGCUUAACGAAGAUGACACCACGAGGAUAUGUCUCCUCAUGCUUAUCGGUCAAGGUUUUUUGGGUUGGCAAAAAACCAAUGUCGUUGACAAUAUGCUUUUAGACCUUGUGGAUAAUCUAGAAGAAUUCAGACAAUAUCCAUGGGGUAAUUAUUUUUGGGAAAGUACUUAUAGUGUCGUAUACAAUUUGCACAAUCGGCAAAAAGGAGACGAUAAAGGUUUUUCUUUGUCGGGAUUUGUCUGGCCCUUCAAGAUGUAGGUGUUGGAGAUUUUUCCUCAAUUUAAGCAUUCAAGGGAAUGGUUUGAAAGUGAGACGAUUCCCAGAUUUUUGGGAUGGAAAGAAGGGAAGAAGUUUAUGAGGGUCACUGUGGAUGGAAUGCUUCAACUAGCUGCAAAGGCCGCCUUUGUUUAUAUUGCCCACUAAAAAUGAGCUGCGGAGCACGUGGUAUUUGUCUAGUUCAGAUUAUUUAGACGCUGAACGUCGGAUGUAUGCUAGUGCAAUGCCGGGCGAGAAUCUGAUUCAAAUGGCCACCGAAAUACCCAUCCAAAUGCCCACAGGGUUCACGGGUCCAAUUCAACCCGAAAUGCUGCCUGCCCCCGGUGUCGACCCACAAUAACAGUUGGCAUCUGUAAUGAACACUUUGUUUGGUGACGAUGGCGCGAAUGAAGGUUAUAAUCCGCCACCGGAUCGACAGGAAAUUCCGCAACAGAAUUUUGUUCCCCCUCCGUCCAUGUUUGGAUCAAAUUACGAGAAUGAGCUGAUUUCACAAUUUAAAUCACUCUUGGACGAGAAGCUACACGAGAACAACCGGAGACUGACCGAUAUGUUAAAGUCAGAGUUAUUGCAAACAUAUCGAUGUUCCCCAAAACAACAAACUGUCAGGACUCCGGCGACCGUACGAACGCCAAAAGAACAGUCGCAUACUCAGAGUGAUAAUGCUGUUGCUGAUUCAUUUAUCAACUACGAUAAUGCCGAUAAUGCAUACCACGUCUCUAUGAGCCCGAUGGUGAAUGUAGAUUUUAAUGAGGAUCCUGAAAUAAUCAAAUUGAGACGAUCCGAAAAGCUUGUAAAGCCCGCUGCAGCUUUGCUAUCCCCGUAUGUGGCUUACAAAAGAUUUAAAGAUAAACAAGCCAAAAAGUUAAGGAAUGAGGAUAGACAAAUUGCGUUCAUCAAGCAACGGUAUCCAUAUAGCGGCAAUAAACAUCUUUCCCUAAUUGUGGGAAAUUGUGUCGGUCCAAAUUUUUGGGAGUCAUUGCUGGGCGAGGACGGUCGCGGCUGGUUAAGCGAUGAUAAAUGAAAGUGAUCGCUGGAGUAUUCUACCCCCAUAUUUCUAGAAUUUUUUCGAUCACGGGUCGUCGACCAGACCUUCAACGGUUAUUUCACUGGGCAGGUUGAACCUUUUCCACCAAUAAAUACUGUUGACGAGGUUUACGUACCGUUGUAUAUACAAGGCCUCCACUGGUUUUUAGGCGUUUUCAACCUUGUCGAUUACACGCUGACGAUAUACGACAGCCUUUUAAGCUUCAAUACUUUGGAAAAGGAAAGAGCGGAUGUGGCGUGUCAUAUAAAUUUUGUGUUUGACCAUUGGGUACGAAUUCAUGGUUAUAAUGCCGAUAGACCAUUACCGUUAUAUUAUCCCUUCGAAGUUAUUUAUGCAACCGAUGCUCCUCAGCAGUCCGGACCUUUGGGAGACUUUGGAGUUUGGGUUUGCAUGUAUCUUCACAGGUUGAUAAAUAAAAAACCGUUGAACGAUGGUGAAGAUAGUCAGAAAACAGCGGAACGAAUGAGACGUCAACUAGCUUUACUAUUUUAUGAUUCUUUGUUACCCGAUAGUACAAGUGACAACGUCUUUGAUGAUGAACCCGUAAUUGUAAGAUAAUUGUAUUGUUUUGGUUUAAAAAAAUUAAAUACAUUUGUACUGCU
Molecule: RNA transcript, 3526 nt
Organism: Helianthus annuus (common sunflower)
Lineage: Eukaryota; Viridiplantae; Streptophyta; Magnoliopsida; Asterales; Asteraceae
Gene name: cysteine-rich receptor-like protein kinase 7
Exons: 12
Source: RefSeq, a predicted model, not a curated record